RNAcentral lists this ribosomal RNA (253 nucleotides) under uncultured bacterium. Its description in RNAcentral is "partial 16S ribosomal RNA". It matches the Rfam family "Bacterial small subunit ribosomal RNA", at positions 524 to 776 of the family's 1533-position model. The record is from RNAcentral.
UACAGAGGUCCCAAGCGUUGUUCGGAUUCAUUGGGCGUAAAGGGUGCGUAGGCGGCGCGGUAAGUCGGGUGUGAAAUUUCGGAGCUUAACUCCGAAACUGCAUUCGAUACUGCCGUGCUUGAGGACUGGAGAGGAGAUUGGAAUUCACGGUGUAGCAGUGAAAUGCGUAGAUAUCGUGAGGAAGACCAGUGGCGAAGGCGGAUCUCUGGACAGUUCCUGACGCUGAGGCGCGAAGGCCAGGGGAGCAAACGGG